GUUCCUGUGGUCGAGUAGAAACUACCUCUCAUUAUUUCUUCAAAUGUCCAAAAUAUAAUGAAAUUCGAAGGGAUACUAUCGGGACGAUCUCUUGUUCUAAUCUUAAGAUUAUUUUAUAUGGGGAUAGUCUAAAAGCUGACGAGGACAAUAUGCAAAUAUUUCAUAAAGUUUCUGAAUACAUAAUAAAACAAAACGUUUUGAAAGUUAAUCUAGUAUAUGUAUAUAUAUAUUAUAUAUUUAGACUUUUUUUUUUAAAUAUGAUGUUAAAUCGAGUGGAUGACCCGGUGUAGUUGAUUGUGGUCGGACGUGUGUGUUGGUUCCAGUGACUGUCUAGAAAAGUAAAUAAGAGUUGACUGUUUCUUGUUUUUUUUAUUUUUUUUCUUUUUUUUUCUCACUUUUUCUUUUUUUCCUUUAUUUUAUUUGUUGUAUUUUUUUUAUUUUUUGUGUGUGUGUGUUUAUUUAUUCAAUGUAUCAUAUGCUACCAUAAAAUGAAUAUACUGUUGGCACG
Molecule: long non-coding RNA, 508 nt
Filed under: Mytilus galloprovincialis (Mediterranean mussel)
Lineage: Eukaryota; Metazoa; Mollusca; Bivalvia; Mytilida; Mytilidae
Source: RNAcentral